ACAAACUUGGUCAUUUAGAGGAAGUAAAAGUCGUAACAAGGUUUCCGUAGGUGAACCUGCGGAAGGAUCAUUAAAAUAUUACUAGUUAGCUGUAGGGCUGAGAAGCCCUUAAAAGUUGACUAUGUAUUUUCAACCACGUUGGUUAUGGGCACUUUCUUGCUUCCGUGAAUUUUAAGGGUGUUAAUUCUCUAUAGGUUAGUUGGCGCCUUUCACGGAGGUAUUUCGAAAUAAUUAUGUUUUCAACUUAUGAUGAAGACAACAUUACGCCUCUCUGACAAAAAUUAUACAAAAUAAAUUUAAAACUUUCAACAACGGAUCUCUAGGUUCUCGCAUCGAUGAAGAACGCAGC
Molecule: unclassified non-coding RNA, 349 nt
Filed under: uncultured fungus
Lineage: Eukaryota; Fungi
Description: partial contains small subunit ribosomal RNA, internal transcribed spacer 1, and 5.8S ribosomal RNA
Rfam family: Eukaryotic small subunit ribosomal RNA (bases 1-73)
Source: RNAcentral